This 86-nucleotide transfer RNA is filed under the name Gossypium arboreum. It matches the Rfam family "tRNA". From Rfam's summary of the family: Transfer RNA (tRNA) molecules are approximately 80 nucleotides in length. Their secondary structure includes four short double-helical elements and three loops (D, anti-codon, and T loops). Lineage: Eukaryota; Viridiplantae; Streptophyta; Magnoliopsida; Malvales; Malvaceae. The record is from Rfam by way of RNAcentral. RNAcentral also lists the same sequence under 4 other names.
GCCGAGCUGGUGAAAAUGGUAUACACGCAGGUUUUAGAUGCCUGUGUCAUAAGAAUGACUUGGGGGUUCAAAUCCCUCGCUCGGUA